UUGUUAGUGGCAAGAACUCGAGUGCACUGUGCACUCUGUGAGGUCAUAAAGCGAAGAAAGUGCAAUUACACAAUGAAAAGGGGCAAGCACACUGCAUAAAGAUGUAGAUGAGCUAAAGCUACAUGGAAGAGAUGGGACAGCAUGCCAUGGGGGGAGCAGCCCAGCAGGGGAGCCAGGCAGCUGUCUCCUGACUACUUUCUUGACUGGAAAACAUGGGAUGCCUCAGAAUGCUCCAUAUCUUUAUGGUUCCCCGAGGAUGACUUCAAAUUCUGAAAAUAAAAUGCAGCAGACCAGAUCGUAACGUCAGAAUUCAUUUUGGCAACUCUUGGAAAAGAAGAUUCAUUGUUUUGGUUGGUUUGUAAAGCUCUAAUGGUAAACUUCUGUUGUUUUCUAAAGAAAAGGUGGGCCCUUAGAGCACAUAAUAAAUAGUAACAUCGAUUUCACCUUGAAAAUUGCUACAAAAGUAGU
Equus caballus (horse) is the source of this 468-nucleotide long non-coding RNA. RefSeq lists it as uncharacterized. Lineage: Eukaryota; Metazoa; Chordata; Mammalia; Perissodactyla; Equidae. The record is from RefSeq and is a predicted model, not a curated record.